RNAcentral lists this ribosomal RNA (468 nucleotides) under uncultured bacterium. Its description in RNAcentral is "partial 16S ribosomal RNA". It matches the Rfam family "Bacterial small subunit ribosomal RNA", at positions 28 to 507 of the family's 1533-position model. The record is from RNAcentral.
GACGAACGCUGGCGGCGUGCUUAACACAUGCAAGUCGAACGGAAAGGCCCUGCUUUUGUGGGGUGCUCGAGUGGCGAACGGGUGAGUAACACGAGAGUAACCUGCCCUUGACUUUGGGAUAACUUCAGGAAACUGGGGCUAAUACCGGAUAGGAGCUCCUGCUGCAUGGUGGGGGUUGGAAAGUUUCGGCGGUGGGGGAUGGACUCGCGGCUUAUCAGCUUGUUGGUGGGGUAGUGGCUUACCAAGGCUUUGGCGGGUAGCCGGCCUGAGAGGGUGACCGGCCACAUUGGGACUGAGAUACGGCCCAGACUCCUACGGGAGGCAGUAGUGGGGAAUAUUGCACAGUGGGCGGAAGCCUGAUGCAGCAACGCCGCGUGCGGGAUGACGGCCUUCGGGUUGUAAACCGCUUUCGCCUGUGACGAAGCGUGAGUGACGGUAAUGGGUAAAGAAGCACCGGCUAACUACGUG